RNAcentral lists this long non-coding RNA (1523 nucleotides) under Homo sapiens (human). Its description in RNAcentral is "ADGRA1 antisense RNA 1". The record is from RNAcentral. Lineage: Eukaryota; Metazoa; Chordata; Mammalia; Primates; Hominidae.
ACUGCAGAGCGUAUUUAAAGAGACACCUCGCUCCGCGCUCGCUCCCCAGCACCAGACCCUCGCCCGAAAACGCCGCCGGGCGGACUGCACGACCCUGUGUUAUUCCCAAAGACAAUCUCCAUCCGUGGAGAAGCUGCAGGAACAGAAAUAUACACAAGAAAAUGGAUUUGGAAGGAAUUUUCCAUCCUUUAUUUAACAUUCUCAAGUCCAGAUAUGCCAGAACCGAGGUGCACCUGUCGUGAACCCGUCUGAGUUUGCAGGUUAGACCCCACUUGCGGUUGUGUGUUCCAGAAGUCUCCGGGCGCUGUGUGGCAGGAUGAGGAGCUGCCCCCCUGGAGGAUCACGCAGGCCUCUGGGUGGCAUUCAGCAGGGUUGGCUGCGGCACCGGCUGACCACAGGGCCCACCUUUCCAGUCCCGGCAGGAGAGAAGCGUCUCAACCAUGUUGCAGGCACACGGGUGAGGGUGCUGCCUGCCUCCCUGACUCUUACCUCCCCAAGAGAGGAAAACAAAAGAAAAAAAGAUAAGACCAGGAAAUGGAAAUAAGACAAAGAAGAAUGAAAUUUUAAAAUCCGAACAAACCCAAACAUGCUGUUUCAAAACGUAAGUCCAUGAAGAGUCUCGUGGUGAGAAAGACAGAAUUCCUAGCCAGGAAAAUGCCCCGUGCUUGCCCCUUGGAGGCAGGUGCUCACCACGGCAGGGUCUAUCUAGGUGUUUAUUAAGGUGUCUCACCACGUAUCGCCCGGAUUCACCAGAGAUGCAGAGGCGGAGGAUACGUUCCUGUUUACAUUGAUACAUAGUUACAUAGGUGAAGAGCUUUACAGUGAGGAAGCGGCUCACGCGGCCAUGAGGGACCCAGGCAGGAGCUGCUGUUGCUGCCCCAGGUGCGAUUCCUUCCUCCUCAGGGAGGCUCAGCUCCCCGCUGCAGCCAGGUGGGCCCAGGCAGGCCUCCUUGGCCUACAGCGCAGACGGCCAAGUGCUGGUCACGGCCAUUGCAUCUACACCACCCCUUUCUCAGCAGCAACUCCACGAGUGCUCGAUGGGAAACUGCAGACAGCAGCCUUGCCAAGCGGAUGCCCAGGGCCGACCACCGCAGCCCCUCCAGCCACGUUCUCCAUCAGGGCAGCCUCCUGCUGGCUUCGGCACUGCAGGUAGCACACCAGCGAGGGGUGGGCCUGUGUGCCACGAAGCGUCAUCCAUGGACGUGCCACGAAGGGUUAUUCUUCUUUUGACUUUUUCUGAUGGUUUAAAACUGUAAGAACACACAGCUCACAGUCCACACGGAAGCAGGCAUGUGGCUCCUGCCUCACUGUGGGAGGAAAGAUGUUCUCAAAAGAAAUGGCUGGGUUUGCGGAGGGGUUUGUGGAGGGCCGGGCAGUCUGAACACAGCCCAGCUGGCCUUGGUGGAGGUGGGCCUGGCACAGGGGGGUGGGAGCAGUUCUUCCUGACGCAAAUCCUAACGCCUUCAACACUGACCUUCCAAAGAAACAGCUGCUGGACGCCGCCCGACAGCAACGAGAGCCCC